This is an RNA transcript of Brachypodium distachyon (stiff brome), 4322 nucleotides long. RefSeq lists it as uncharacterized. The transcript is spliced from 10 exons. NCBI's taxonomy places the organism in Eukaryota, Viridiplantae, Streptophyta, Magnoliopsida, Poales, Poaceae. The record is from RefSeq and is a predicted model, not a curated record.
GCACGGCCCACAUCCCCCACCUGAAGCCGACGGCGACGGCGACGAGGCAUGAGCGCCCGCGCCGACCUCUGACUGUUGCGGCGAUCCCGGCCCCCUGGAGCAGGCCGGGGCGAGACCGAAUAUCCAAUCCCUUCCCUUCCCCACCGCAAAUCCGGGCCACGGCUCCUCUCCCCUCUCCCGUCCCUCUCUCUCCGCCCCCAGCCUCCCCCUUUCCCGCCCCCCCUCCAUCUCUGAGCGCAACCGCACCGCCGGAGCAGAGUCGGCUGCUCGCCCGCCAGCACCCACAGCCUACCCCGCCCGGAUCGCGCCAGAGGAAAGGAAAGGGGCUAAUCAGCGCAGUUGGAAGGAACUGCUGGAUUUGGGAAUCGUGUGAUGCACUCAGCUGUGGCGCCGAUCCAGACCAACCCGACCUGAUCGCGCCAUCUCCACCACGCACAUGGCGCCCCCUGCUGCCACUGCCACCGCCGCAGGCGGCGGCGGCAGCGGCAACGCCGCCGAGGCUGACGGGGCACCGCGCAUGGCCAAGUUCCUCUGCAGCUUCGGAGGCAGCAUCCUGCCCCGCCCGCUCGACGGCCGCCUCCGCUAUGUCGGCGGCGAUACCAGGAUCGUCAUGUUGCCGCGCGACAUACCCUACGCCGACCUGGCCGCGCGGAUGCGGGAGCUCUACGAGGAGGCCGACAUCAUCAAGUACCAGCAGCCCGAUGAGGAUCUCGAUGCGCUGGUCUCUGUGGUCAACGACGAUGACGUGGUGAACAUGAUGGAGGAGUAUGACAAGCUCAUUGCUGCUGGAGAGGGGUUCACCCGGCUGAGGGUCUUCUUGUUUUCGCAGCACUUGGACGAUGAGGCCGCGUCUGUGGCUGUGCAUUACCAUGGGGACGAGCGGGAGACCGAGAGGAGGUAUGUCGACGCGCUUAAUAGCCUUGGUGACAUGAGGUCGCCUUCCUCUCCUGUAUCGGUGGAGCAGCUUUUUGGGAUCGGAGGCAAUGACUCAGGGAUUCCUGACAGCUUGCGGCAUCUGAAUGUUCCUCGUCCAUCACAUAGUCAGAGGUAUGGGGACAUGGAUUCUCCCUGGAGCCCUGCAUAUAUAUCUCCAGGACAGUACGGAGUGCAUGAUCCAAGGGAUUUUCCCGUUUCACCGUCAUCUGCAAGGUUUCAAGUUGGAGCGGAGGAUUUUGAUGAGAGGAUUCCUGAUGAUUUUGUGAGGCAUUCACCAAAAUAUCGGCAUUAUGAGGCUCAGUCACCGCCGCACGUGGAUAACUUGGUCUGGCUUCCACCUGGUGCUGUAGUCCAACAAAAUGCGGGCUUCCCAGGCAAUCUGGGCCGCUCCGGCAGUUUCUUGGAUGCAAACAGCGUGUACGAUAUCUCCCGUUCACCGUUCCAGAAGGGUCAAGGUUCAGUCAGUGAUCCUCGCUACGUGGAUCCCCGCUGGAGGCCAGUCCAACAACAACACUUUGACCAGUCGGGCAUGACAAAUGAGUAUUCUGCUGCUCACCCUGCUAAUAAUGCCCGUCCAGAUUUUGGCCGCCCUGGUGAGCAAUAUGUGGUGCCCCAAGAUGUUAGACUGGAAAAUGGUGUUUAUGUCAAAGAGCAAACAGGUGGUCACCCUCCCGUGUUCUAUACCGAAUCACAUUCUCAUGAUAGAGCUUGGCAUGCGCAUCCCAACCAAAGUCAUCAACGGUAUGAGGAUCCCAGAUUGAAUCUGCCCGGUAAUGGUAGAGUGAUGGAGCCAUACAUUGAUAGCAACUCCGCUAAUUCUGCAUUCACAACUGGCAAAGUAUAUGAAAUGCAUUCAGCAUCACACAGUCGCUCUAGCCAUGAGAGUCCCCACUAUUAUCACGGCAGUGGUGAGCAUAUCAAUGAUGCCUAUCAUAACCAACAAGUUGUAAGUAGUGGCUCAUAUGUCCAGACAUCAGGUUUCGAUGAAUCUACAGGUCAGCAUUACAGUCAUUCUUCAACAUAUGGUGCGGAUUCCUUUUACCAAAUGCAACAGAAUUUGCCACCGCUUCAAUCUCUGAGGAGGAGAGCAAACAGCCCUGUUCAUACAGGUUCGCCAUAUGAAUCACCGCACCUUCCGGUUCCAAAUGGGAGUAUUAACUCCAAUUUUGUGAGAAACACUGGUGAUGUUAGUCCAAGGAUUCCAGGUGUGCCUGUAUACGAUCGACUUCCAAACGCAUGGCCUACACCCAAUGGCAACAUACCUUAUAGAGUUGUUGGACAUGAUAGUCCUGUUGUUGUAGAAAACCCUUCUGCUCUUGUUCCUCGGCCAAAUCCAAAUACUACUCAGUAUGUUCAGCCUUUCUUUGCCCCAGAAUCAGUCCAGCAGCAACCAGGUGUUCCAUUGAUUGAGAUUUAUCCUGAAAGAGCAUGUGCUGGGCCCAUGCUAUCAUCGCUUGAUGGUAGAGUAGCUGUUCCUGCAUUACCCCUCACUGAUCAAUUGUCCACACUGGACAUUAACACAACAAAGAAACCUGAAGGACCAGAGGAUGAAAGGCAUAUACAAAAUGUGACUGGAACAAAACCUUCACAUGCUGUGAGUGACCCUAGUACCUUGGUCCACCAUGUUGGAGUUGCACAUGAAGUUGAUCUCAAACAGGGGAAACCCACAGAGCAUGAAGCCAGCAUGACUAAAGUACAUGAAUCUGGGGCUAUAGCAAUGCAGGAAUGUGGGGAUAUAUCAGAGGACAGGUUGAAUUUUCUUCCGGAGUUGGUUGCUUCUGUUAAAAAGGCUGCAUUGGAAGAAGCUGAGAAGCCAGCAGAGGCUCAACCAGAUGCUCGCCCUGCUGUUUCACCUAUUUGUGAUGAUGACAAUGAUGGAAAGAAGUUUGAUGAGAUUGCUGAUGGAGAUCAGGACUCUGAUGUGCAUGGAAGCGGUGACCAGCACAAAAGUUCUGGAAUCGAAGCUACAACCGCAGAAGCUGAAGCUUUGUCCAAGGGACUACAGACUAUAAAAAAUGAUGAUCUGGAGGAAAUCAGAGAGCUGGGUUCAGGUACUUAUGGGGCAGUCUUUCAUGGUAAAUGGAGGGGAUGUGAUGUUGCCAUCAAAAGAAUAAAAGCGAGUUGCUUUGCUGGAAGGCCAUCCGAGAGAGAGCGUUUGAUAGCGGAUUUCUGGAAAGAAGCUCAGAUACUGAGCUCGCUUCAUCAUCCAAAUGUGGUUUCGUUUUAUGGUGUAGUUCGUGAUGGUCCUGAUGGAAGCUUAGCAACUGUCACCGAGUUUAUGAUCAAUGGGUCCCUCAAACAGUUCUUGAGGAAAAAGGACAGGACAAUUGAUCGCCGCAAAAGAGUUAUAUUAGCCAUGGAUGCUGCAUUUGGCAUGGAAUAUUUGCAUGGGAAGAAUAUUGUCCAUUUUGAUCUCAAGUGUGAGAACUUACUGGUGAACAUGAGGGAUCCACAACGACCAAUCUGCAAGAUUGGUGAUCUCGGGCUAUCAAAGGUGAAGCAGCAUACUCUGGUGUCUGGUGGUGUUAGAGGAACCUUGCCAUGGAUGGCGCCAGAGCUUUUGAGUGGGAAAAGCAAUAUGGUGUCAGACAAGAUUGAUGUCUACUCAUUUGGUAUUGUGAUGUGGGAGCUACUUACUGGCGAUGAGCCAUAUUCUGAUAUGCGUGCUGCUGAAAUUAUUGGGGGCAUUGUGAACAAUUCCCUUCGUCCUCAGAUUCCUUCCUGGUGCGAUCCUGAAUGGAAAUCUUUGAUGGAAGGUAGUUGGGCUGGUGAACCAGCUGAAAGACCAUCCUUCACUGAAAUAUCUCAGAGGUUGAGGAAAAUGGCCGCAGCAAUGAACGUGAAGUAAAGGCUCAAGUCAUUAGAGCCACAGGAAAAGGAUUGUAAAGAUUCCCACGUCUAGUUCCCUAACAAGAGGAAGGCAGACUCAGGAAUAUAUGUUACACAAGUGUCUUGGCAGUGUCUCGGUUUAUCUUAGUUCAAAUGAUAAUUUAUGAAGGCCUUCCAUAGUUCCAUGCCAGAAAAAAAAUCGUGGAAGUUCUAAAGCAUGUUUGAUGGACAAAUUUAUCGAGUCGUCAGCUGCCAAUGCCUUCCGUAUGAUAUAUAGUGCAUCUAUCCAUUCCUCAAGAUGGGAACUGUUGAGUUGUAAUGUAAAUAAAUUUUGGCUCGCUCAAUCCAGCUGGCACAUGAUAGAUGUGCGCAGUUACUAGACACUGUUCAAAGUUGGACACAGUUAUCUUUUUUUCAUACAAUUGUGUCCUGAGAAAAGACGGAACAAACUCGAACCGAGAUAUCCUUAUUCAGAUUGUACAUAGUUUAAGAAUAAGAUUUUCACGUUGCUUCGAAAAUGGUCUUUCCUGUAUAUAUCAUCAGUUCCAUCUCUGCCA